Unclassified non-coding RNA from Cavia aperea (Brazilian guinea pig), 100 nucleotides. It matches the Rfam family "Y RNA". Rfam says of the family: Y RNAs are components of the Ro ribonucleoprotein particle (Ro RNP), in association with Ro60 and La proteins. The Y RNAs and Ro60 and La proteins are well conserved, but the function of the Ro RNP is not known. The record is from Ensembl. NCBI's taxonomy places the organism in Eukaryota, Metazoa, Chordata, Mammalia, Rodentia, Caviidae.
GGCUGGUCCGAUGGCAGUGGGUUAUCAGAACUUAUUAACAUUAGUGUCACUAAAGUUGGUAUGCCACCCCCGCCCCACUGCUAAAUUUGACUGGNNNUAA